Molecule: ribosomal RNA, 497 nt
Filed under: uncultured bacterium
Lineage: Bacteria
Description: partial 16S ribosomal RNA
Rfam family: Bacterial small subunit ribosomal RNA
Source: RNAcentral
GAUGAACGCUGGCGGCGUGCCUAAUACAUGCAAGUCGAGCGAACAGACGAGGAGCUUGCUCCUUUGACGUUAGCGGCGGACGGGUGAGUAACACGUGGAUAACCUACCUAUAAGACUGGGAUAACUUCGGGAAACCGGAGCUAAUACCGGAUAACAUGUUGAACCGCAUGGUUCAACAGUGAAAGACGGUCUUGCUGUCACUUAUAGAUGGAUCCGCGCCGCAUUAGCUAGUUGGUAAGGUAACGGCUUACCAAGGCAACGAUGCGUAGCCGACCUGAGAGGGUGAUCGGCCACACUGGAACUGAGACACGGUCCAGACUCCUACGGGAGGCAGCAGUAGGGAAUCUUCCGCAAUGGGCGAGAGCCUGACGGAGCAACGCCGCGUGAGUGAAGAAGGUCUUCGGAUCGUAAAACUCUGUUAUUAGGGAAGAACAAAUGUGUAAGUAACUAUGCACGUCCUGACGGUACCUAAUCAGAAAGCCACGGCUAACUACGUG